Nematostella vectensis (starlet sea anemone) is the source of this 923-nucleotide long non-coding RNA. RefSeq lists it as uncharacterized. NCBI's taxonomy places the organism in Eukaryota, Metazoa, Cnidaria, Anthozoa, Actiniaria, Edwardsiidae. The transcript is spliced from 3 exons. The record is from RefSeq and is a predicted model, not a curated record.
UGAAGUUAAGUUGGUAUUGUUUGCACCGCCGUGGAAAACAUUUAAAAAAAUUUUGUUUGUCUAUUUACUCUCUGUCCACUGUGUAAAGUCCUUCCUAGUUGUAGCUCAAAAGUGGACUUUUUGUUCUUCGCACCCCCCGCCCCCCUCCUUUCCCGUCUGAGCACAUGCGUUAGCUACACUGUACUCUUUGUAGGUCAUUAAUGAACAGGACCCAGCAUAGAGCAUUGUGGAACUUCUGAAGAAACGAAUACAGAGUCUGCCUAAUAAAAAACUUGCUGCUUUCUUCUGUUCAAAUCACGAUCAACGAUAAGUGAAGUAAAUAAAUAAAAAAAUUAAGCAUUUUGACCACUCUAGCGGGCGAAGCUCAGCUACAGCGGUAACUCCCAGUACGCGCGCUAUUACGUAAGUCAUAAUGUAACUUUUCCAUGAUUACGUAACAAAGGUUGCUAAGGUUUCUCGCCAGAUUUUCUACAUACACCAAACUGAACGGUCGACAUUUUUUCGCUCUUCUAUUUUUCUUAAAAAUGUCCCACAGGAACCCAGUUUAUCGGGCCGGCUCGAUCAAGAAUUUAUCCAGCAAAGAGAAAGAUAUUAUUCUUCAGCAAAAGGUUAUGAGCAAGAACAAAUCCAAGAUGACAGGCAUGAUCAGGGCCGUGGCAGGGGGUGGGGCACUGGUGGCACGUUCCCCCCCAAUAUUUUCGAAAAUUAUAAGGAAAUAACCAAUAGGGGCGUGGCUGUGCCCCCAAAUACUAUGUUACAUGUUUAUGUGUUGUGCCCCUCCCAUUUCUUUAGGCCUUCUCAGGCACUGAUGAUGGCCCAAAUUUCUUCUCGGCACGAAACACAUUCAUCUUGUUAAUAAGAAUUAUUAUCAUUGGUUUAUUUCAAAGAUUGUUUAUUAAAUUUUCUAUUGUUAAUAUCUAAAA